Long non-coding RNA from Dromiciops gliroides (monito del monte), 388 nucleotides. RefSeq lists it as uncharacterized. NCBI's taxonomy places the organism in Eukaryota, Metazoa, Chordata, Mammalia, Microbiotheria, Microbiotheriidae. The transcript is spliced from 3 exons. The record is from RefSeq and is a predicted model, not a curated record.
AGAAAUUCGAUUUGGUGAUUUCUUGCUGGUUCUUAGCGUCUGCCAAUGUUCUCCAUUCCUGGAUUCCAAAUGGAAAGAAGCUUAAGAUGGCUAUAUUUCCCAGAAAGGUUGAAAUGUUUGUGUUUGUUUCUGAUUACUAAUAUCACCAGAGGGGAUGGACACAGGGAUUGAAUCUAAGAUUUCAUGGCUACAGGACAUUCCAAGAUGAAGAAACUCCCUUUAUUAAUGCUGGUCAACAUCUUCCUCUGCAGUAUAUAGCCUUAAAGGAGGGUGUGGUCAACUACAGACAGCCUGCCAAAUAGAGCCUGCAGCAUGGUUUUGUACAGCUCCAAGAUAAUACAAUUAAAGUCAAUAUUAUAUCCAUGUUUGGUUGGAUGGAUGAUUCUAG